UUGAACUGAAGAGUUUGAUCAUGGCUCAGAUUGAACGCUGGCGGCAGGCCUAACACAUGCAAGUCGAGCGGUAGAGAGAAGCUUGCUUCUCUUGAGAGCGGCGGACGGGUGAGUAAUGCCUAGGAAUCUGCCUGGUAGUGGGGGAUAACGUUCGGAAACGGACGCUAAUACCGCAUACGUCCUACG
RNAcentral lists this ribosomal RNA (186 nucleotides) under Pseudomonas synxantha. Its description in RNAcentral is "partial 16S ribosomal RNA". It matches the Rfam family "Bacterial small subunit ribosomal RNA", at positions 1 to 184 of the family's 1533-position model. The record is from RNAcentral. Lineage: Bacteria; Pseudomonadati; Pseudomonadota; Gammaproteobacteria; Pseudomonadales; Pseudomonadaceae.